This is a long non-coding RNA of Daphnia pulex (common water flea), 1876 nucleotides long. RefSeq lists it as uncharacterized. The record is from RefSeq and is a predicted model, not a curated record. Lineage: Eukaryota; Metazoa; Arthropoda; Branchiopoda; Diplostraca; Daphniidae. The transcript has 2 exons.
UUUCUUUCACAGUCCACCAUCAGCCAUCCGAGAAGAGGAGAUUUGUUAGUUGUUAAAUACCCACUAAAUAUAGGAUACGGUUAUAGAUAACUAAUAUAGAUAACUAAGGAGCAUUUAACCCAAGAGUUUUUAAUUUUUAGAUGGAAAAUAGCAACAGCGGAGCGCAGCGGAGCAACCAGCAGGACCUAUAAGACUCUGGUAAACAAGAAAACAUUGAGGUUAUGCAAUGCAAACUUGAAGUUAGAAAAUAACCUCUAGAAUUCUAAUAAUUUUUACCGAACAUUUUGUUGCCUAUACACCGCCGCACGAGUUUGAGGGUAAGUUUGCGAGCGCAAAUCUUCUAAACCAGUUUACAUCGGUGUUGUCGCGUGCUGAUAUAAUCUGACGAGAAAAAUUUGCUGUUUUUCCAUUUCCUAUUUACUACUGCAGUCAUCGACUCAUCGUGGUUCCAGUCACGUAGUUUGAUAAAUAUCGUCUGAUACUUGACCGUCUGAACUUUUUGAUACUUGUCCCCAGUGACUUGUUGUUUUAACUAUUUCAGUCUAAGGACUCUCAGACAUAUAUGAAUGACGUUUCAGACAUAUCAAAACAUCUUUCCCAGAACAACAAGCCAUGCACGUGUAUUAAUGCGGACGUGAUGGCGACACAGUAAACUGGCGUAACUUUGAAUAUAGAUCUUAUAGAUCUUCUUGAUUGCAGUAAUUUUCAGCUUGUACUAUUCUAACACAAUGUAAAUUAAUGCUCGAUAAAAUAAAAACGGAAAAAUGUUCAGAUAGUUAUCCAUAUUGGUUGAGGGUGGUAACUUUAAGCCGUGUGGUCGACUCGUGCCCACGACUAAAACAGUAAAAAUAUAAAAAAUAAAAUUAAUAAAAAAGUAACAUAUUUUGCAAUGAAUAGUUGUGUCAGCUCUUUUUCAAAGUUACCCAGACUCCAUUCUGACGAUGACUUGAAAAAAAAAACUUAAAAUCUAUGGUAUUGCAUGUAUAUUUUUUUUAUUCUUACGAAUUGCUUCCACUCUUGUGAAACAUUUCAUUCGUUUAAUUUGUUUCAAUAUCAGUUGAACGUUUAGAUGUUCGGCCCUGUAGUUUAGUGGUAGAAUUGGUUGAGAUUUGGAGGCGGCGUUGCGAUGGAAAUAAAGAUUAUAAACAUUUGGGUUUCAGUAGGUAAUGGCAAUUGAAAUGUCCCAGCAGAAAAAUAUACUUGAUUGACAGCCGCCCCAAUUACAGUCCCUUGAUGAUAGGCUGGGGCUGCGCCCUUGAUGAUUUCGGGAACUUAUUGAUCGACGGUCGCAAACUUGAUUGCAGAUUUCUGCCUGGCAUUGCUGGUUACUCGCAGAUGGGAAACUAAAAUUCUGCCCUAAUGGCAGGUUCCACUUCUUCGCUCUGGCGGCGGGUAUCAUAUUAUUUAUUUUAAUGUAAAUUUCUUUAAUACUCUCUCGCUCGUCACACACACGCUCACCUCACCACACAGAAUCCCGAUCGACGGUCUUUAUGUCCUACAGCCGGUACUCAGCCUGCGUAAUUCCGAAGCUGAGUCUAAUAUGCCCUAUAUACCUUAGUUCCGGUCGUCUGUAAUAAAGAGCGUAGUGCAUGACUCCGUGAGGUGAAGUGCGACUUCUAUUUCAUAUUUCAUUUAAUAAAUAGUUAUAGUACUGCCACUGCUGAUUCAGUCUAUGCUAAUUGUCGAUGCUAAUUGGUCAAAUUUUUUUAUUCACUCGUUAAAAUUCUCCAGGAAAAAUUAUAUGUAUGAGAAAUAUUUUUACAUUUACACGCGCAUCUAAUAAUAAUUUUUUUUUUGCAAAUGUCUGUGCAUAUAAUAACCACAUAGGCCUACUGAUAAAAUGAAGUGUUGAAAUAAUACAAUUGUCGAUGUAGAA